GCCGGGAUAGCCUAAUCUGGUAUGGCGCUAGAUUUAGGUUCUAGUGAGGCACCCCAGUCUCAUGCGGGUUCGAAUCCCGCUCCCGGCG
Molecule: transfer RNA, 88 nt
Filed under: Nanobdellota archaeon
Lineage: Archaea; Nanobdellati; Nanobdellota
Description: tRNA-Leu
Rfam family: tRNA
About the family: Transfer RNA (tRNA) molecules are approximately 80 nucleotides in length.
Source: RNAcentral